CACAUCCCCAGUCUUUUCUUUUGUUUUUUCAGACAGGGUCUGUGUAAUCCAGGCCGGACCUCGUUGUCUAGUCCCAAGCCACCUUCAAACUCGUGGCAGUUCUCCCAUCUCAGCCUCUCAAGUGCUGCAGUCCCAGCUAUUCAGCAGACUGAGGCAAGAAGAUUGCAAGUUCAAAGGCAACCUGGGCAACUUAUUGAAACCUUGUCAUGAAAGAAAACAUUAAAGGAAACAUGAGUGUGGAAUUUAGCCAGUGGGGAGUACACAGCUAGUGCGGAAAUCUUUCUGGAAUAAGCAUCCAACACUGAGAGUGGAGGAGAGAAGAUGUCACCAGUGGACUGAAACCAGGACAGGUCCUGAAAGGCUUUGAUCCUGGGCCAUUUAUAUUCUCAUCAUUUUUCUAAAACCACCAGUCUCACACUAGAGAGACCAAGAACCUAGCAAUCAUCCGGUGCACGAGGAUGCUGUCUCAGUGACCCUGAUCUGGCACCAGAGGCCUGGCCUUCAGUCCAUGUUGGAAUCCCAAGGAAGAUGGUUCUAACAUUGGUGAAGGAUUGCCGCAGCAACAGAAAUGCAGGCUGACCAGCAAGAGUGAGAGCAUGCAGGCAAAAAAGCAGUUUUCUUCUCCAUGUCCUAUUCUGUGUCAGAGGGUGACACUCAAGCCAGGCAGUGGUGGCGCAUGCCUUUUAUCCCAGUGCUUGGGAGGCAGAGGCAGGUGGAUCUAUGGGAGUUGAGGCCAGCCUGGUCUACAGAGGGAGUUCCAGGACAGCCAGGGCUACACAGAGAAACCCUGUCUCAAAACAAAACAAAACCCUAAACAAAUAAACAAAGAAAAAAAGAACAAAGACACAAAGAAAGGGAAAAAAGAGAGAGCAAGCGGGGCACCAGCAGCCUCUGCUCCCUGACUGUGGAUGCCAUGGGACCAGCGACCACAAGCUCCUGAUGUCCUGCCUUCCCCGCCAUGACAGACUGUGUUCCCAGAAGUGUGAGCUAAAAUAAAGCCUCCGUCCUCUG
Long non-coding RNA from Mus musculus (house mouse), 1011 nucleotides. RefSeq annotates it as predicted gene, 38725. The record is from RefSeq and is a predicted model, not a curated record. The transcript has 3 exons. NCBI's taxonomy places the organism in Eukaryota, Metazoa, Chordata, Mammalia, Rodentia, Muridae.